CCUCCUUACUCUCCACCCCUUUCUUCAACGCCCAGUGACACCUUCUCCAUAACCACCCUCCAGCUAACGAGCUCCCUCACCAUCACAACAAAAUACACACACGCACGAACAGUAAGGAGGAACAGAGGUUCACGAACAGAGAAAUUGAAAACAGUACAUAAAAACAAUACUUCGCCUUCUCCAUGAUUUGAUUCUUAGUUUCAGAAACAUGGAGUUUAACUGAAGUUUGGAGCUGAGAUGUUAGAAACGGUUUGAGGUCAUCAUUCGGUUGCCGAUUCGAGAUUCACCAUUGGUUCUGUUGGUUUUCCGUUAUGAGUCGUUUGCUUUGAUUCUGGUCCUAUGUUCGGUGGUCUCAUAGCCGUCCCUGUUCGCUUCUCGAAUAUCAGAUCGAGCGUCACUAUUUCUGCGUCAGUUUAAUCAAAACAGAAGUGAAAUCUUGGCUUUACUUUGAGCAGGGAAAUCUGAUGAUGGUUACUAGGAGGCUCUGUAAGAUUGGCUUUUGAGUUUGGCAAUAAUAAUUAUAUUGUGAGGUUCUGAUUCAGUAAGCUUCAACUCUAUAUUUUGAAAUUAAAAAGAAAGAGUCCGUCCUUAGCUUGUAUUGUAAUACUAUAAUUUAAGUCUUGCAACUAUAAUAUGUCAAGUUAUAUGUAACACUAGAAGUUUAUAAGUUCGUAAAGUUAUUGUUGAAACAUGUUGGUGUCUUUAGGGUAUUAUGGUUUACAAUUUGUAAUUCCUGGUGUGUGUUUGCGAGCAGGCCUCAUAGUUUGUCAGUUUUCUUUU
Nicotiana tabacum (common tobacco) is the source of this 780-nucleotide non-coding RNA. Lineage: Eukaryota; Viridiplantae; Streptophyta; Magnoliopsida; Solanales; Solanaceae. The record is from RefSeq and is a predicted model, not a curated record.